This 1652-nucleotide long non-coding RNA is filed under the name Sus scrofa (pig). RNAcentral's name for it is "lncRNA (ENSSSCG00015040101.1)". Lineage: Eukaryota; Metazoa; Chordata; Mammalia; Artiodactyla; Suidae. The record is from RNAcentral.
GAGACCUAGCUAGUAACACGGAUCUAGCCUCCCUGCUGCCCACUUUAGACUGGGUGUGAACUUCUCUGUUCAGCUCAAUCCCACCUCUCCAUCUUCAUUCAUCCAGAUUAUCUGCCAGGCCCCGUAGACAUCUGAGUUUGCAACCUCUUGUCUGAAUGCACUAGAAAACUCACAAGCAGCCAAGACUCAAGCCACUGUUCGUUGACAGCUCAGAAGAAGACUUCCUUGGCAAAGCCCAGUGGCUCUUUGGGCAGGAUUUCACCAUUUUAUAUGGCCUUCUAAGCCCUUAAGACCAAGUCCCCGAAAAAGAUGAAAACUCUAAUUCGAAAAGAUCCAUGCACCCCUGGUGUUUAUAGAACCACUCUUGACAAUAGCCAAGACAGGGAAGCAACCUAAGCAUCCAUCAACAGAUGAAUGGACAAAGAGAAGGUACAUAUAUACACAGUUGAAUACUACUCUGGCAUAGAAGAGAACAAAAUAACGCCAUUGACAGCAACACAGAUGGACCUAGAAAGUCUCAUACUAAGUGAAGUAAGUCAGAGAGAGAAAGACAAAUACCACAUGAUAGCACUAUGUGGAGUCUAAAAAAUAUAUGAUGUAGGAGUUCCCGUUGUGGCGCAGUGGUUAACGAAUCCGACUAGGAACCAUGAGGUUGCGGGUUCGGUCCCUGCCCUUGCUCAGUGGGUUAACGAUCCGGCGUUGCCGUGAGCUGUGGUGUAGGUUGCAGAUGCAGCUCGGAUCCCGCAUUGCUGUGGCUCCGGCGUAGGCCAGUGGCUACAGCUCCGAUUUGACCCCUAGCCUGGGAACCUCCAUAUGCUGUAGGAGUGGCCCAAGAAAUAGCAAAAAGACCAAAAACAACAACAACAAAAAAAGAUAUAAAUGAACUAACUCAUUUAUGAAACAGAAAUAGACUCACAGACAUAGAAAACAAAUUUAUGGUUACCAAAGGGGAAAGGCGGGGGCGGGGGGAGGGUGUAAAUUAGGAGUUUGGGAUUAACAGAAACACACCACUAUAUAGAAAGUAGAUAACCGACAGGGACCUACUACACUGCACGGGAAACUAUACUCAGGAUCUUGCAAUAACCUCUAAUGGAAAAGAAUCUGAAAAAAAUAUAUAUUUACUUAUAACUGGACCACAUUGCUGUACACCCGAACUAAAACAACCCUGUAAACCAACGGUACUUCAGUGUAAAGCAAAAGAAUCACAGUAGCUUAAAAAAAAAAAAAGGAAAAAUAAAAUGCAACAAAAUAAAAAACUCGGUCUCCUCAUAGUCACACAGCCCAGGUGUGAUGGUCUUUGCGGCCCUUGGUGCAAAGGCUGGCAAAAUAUGCUCUAAAAGUACACAGGGAGAGAAAUCUCGGGCUCGGGAAAGGCCCGCUUUACUUCCAAGCAGAGAAGUCAGUUGGCUUUUGUCCCCCGUAAAACUGUUCCGAUAAUGACAGGAACAAUGGUCAUAACAUUAACGACACUUGCCUCCUUAAGAUAAGUUGCUGUAUCUUGGAUAAAAAGGUAACCCUAUAUCUAGACGUGUUUAAUCCUUGCUCUAAAUGUAUACAAUGUUUCAAUGCCAACACAUUUAUGAGGAAGUUUUAUGGAGUUAUUGGAUUUUAUGGAGUAAUCUGGUUCAGAGAUACAAAGGACAUUCUUCUGC